UAUGGAGAGUUUGAUCCUGGCUCAGAGUGAACGCUGGCGGCGUGCCUAAUACAUGCAAGUCGAACGAUGAAGCUUCUAGCUUGCUAGAAUGCUGAUUAGUGGCGCACGGGUGAGUAACGCAUAGGUCAUGUGCCUCUUAGUUUGGGAUAGCCAUUGGAAACGAUGAUUAAUACCAGAUACUCCCUACGGGGGAAAGAUUUAUCGCUAAGAGAUCAGCCUAUGUCCUAUCAGCUUGUUGGUAAGGUAAUGGCUUACCAAGGCUAUGACGGGUAUCCGGCCUGAGAGGGUGAACGGACACACUGGAACUGAGACACGGUCCAGACUCCUACGGGAGGCAGCAGUAGGGAAUAUUGCUCAAUGGGGGAAACCCUGAAGCAGCAACGCCGCGUGGAGGAUGAAGGUUUUAGGAUUGUAAACUCCUUUUGUUAGAGAAGAUAAUGACGGUAUCUAACGAAUAAGCACCGGCUAACUCCGUGCCAGCAGCCGCGGUAAUACGGAGGGUGCAAGCGUUACUCGGAAUCACUGGGCGUAAAGAGCGCGUAGGCGGGAUAGUCAGUCAGGUGUGAAAUCCUAUGGCUUAACCAUAGAACUGCAUUUGAAACUACUAUUCUAGAGUGUGGGAGAGGUAGGUGGAAUUCUUGGUGUAGGGGUAAAAUCCGUAGAGAUCAAGAGGAAUACUCAUUGCGAAGGCGACCUGCUGGAACAUUACUGACGCUGAUUGCGCGAAAGCGUGGGGAGCAAACAGGAUUAGAUACCCUGGUAGUCCACGCCCUAAACGAUGGAUGCUAGUUGUUGGAGGGCUUAGUCUCUCCAGUAAUGCAGCUAACGCAUUAAGCAUCCCGCCUGGGGAGUACGGUCGCAAGAUUAAAACUCAAAGGAAUAGACGGGGACCCGCACAAGCGGUGGAGCAUGUGGUUUAAUUCGAAGAUACACGAAGAACCUUACCUAGGCUUGACAUUGAGAGAAUCCGCUAGAAAUAGUGGAGUGUCUGGCUUGCCAGACCUUGAAAACAGGUGCUGCACGGCUGUCGUCAGCUCGUGUCGUGAGAUGUUGGGUUAAGUCCCGCAACGAGCGCAACCCCCUUUCUUAGUUGCUAACAGGUCAUGCUGAGAACUCUAAGGAUACUGCCUCCGUAAGGAGGAGGAAGGUGGGGACGACGUCAAGUCAUCAUGGCCCUUACGCCUAGGGCUACACACGUGCUACAAUGGGGUGCACAAAGAGAAGCAAUACUGCGAAGUGGAGCCAAUCUUCAAAACAUCUCUCAGUUCGGAUUGUAGGCUGCAACUCGCCUGCAUGAAGCUGGAAUCGCUAGUAAUCGCAAAUCAGCCAUGUUGCGGUGAAUACGUUCCCGGGUCUUGUACUCACCGCCCGUCACACCAUGGGAGUUGUGUUUGCCUUAAGUCAGGAUGCUAAAUUGGCUACUGCCCACGGCACACACAGCGACUGGGGUGAAGUCGUAACAAGGUAACCGUAGGUGAACCUGCGGUUGGAUCACCUCCUU
RNAcentral lists this ribosomal RNA (1501 nucleotides) under Helicobacter pylori. RNAcentral describes it as "bacterial SSU rRNA". It matches the Rfam family "Bacterial small subunit ribosomal RNA". Lineage: Bacteria; Pseudomonadati; Campylobacterota; Epsilonproteobacteria; Campylobacterales; Helicobacteraceae. The record is from RNAcentral.